AAUGAACGCUGGCGGCAGGCCUAACACAUGCAAGUCGAACGGAUCCUUCGGGAUUAGUGGCGGACGGGUGAGUAACGCGUGGGAACAUACCCUUUGGUACGGAAUAGCCUCGGGAAACUGGGAGUAAUACCGUAUGUGGUCGAGAGACGAAAGAUUUAUUGCCAAAGGAUUGGCCCGCGUUGGAUUAGGUAGUUGGUGGGGUAAUGGUCUACCAAGCCGACGAUUCAUAGCUGGUUUGAGAGGAUGAUCAGCCACACUGGGACUGAGACACGGCCCAGACUCCUACGGGAGGCAGCAGUGGGGAAUCUUAGACAAUGGGGGAAACCCUGAUCUAGCCAUGCCGCGUGAUCGAUGAAGGCCUUAGGGUUGUAAAGAUCUUUCAGGUGGGAAGAUAAUGACUGUACCACCAGAAGAAGCCCCGGCUAACUCCGUGCCAGCAGCCGCAGUAA
RNAcentral lists this ribosomal RNA (449 nucleotides) under uncultured bacterium. RNAcentral's name for it is "partial 16S ribosomal RNA". It matches the Rfam family "Bacterial small subunit ribosomal RNA", at positions 29 to 523 of the family's 1533-position model. The record is from RNAcentral.